Molecule: ribosomal RNA, 433 nt
Filed under: uncultured Chloroflexota bacterium
Lineage: Bacteria; Bacillati; Chloroflexota
Description: bacterial SSU rRNA
Rfam family: Bacterial small subunit ribosomal RNA
Source: RNAcentral
ACCAGNGGCGAAGGCGGCCUCCUGGACCACUCCUGACACUCAGACGCGAAAGCUAGGGUAGCAAACGGGAUUAGAGACCCCGGUAGUCCUAGCCCUAAACGAUGUAGACUUGGCGUCGGUGGUUUAAUCGCCAUCGGUGUCGUAGCUAACGCGNUAAGUCUACCGCCUGGGGACUACGGCCGCAAGGUUAAAACUCAAAGGAAUUGACGGGUCCCCGCACAAGCAGCGGAGCGUGUGGUUUAAUUCGAUGCUACACGAAGAACCUUACCUGGGUUUGACAUAGAGGUAGUAGGGAAGCGAAAGCGGACCGACCCUUCGGGGAGCCUCUACAGGUGUUGCAUGGCUGUCGUCAGCUCGUGUCGUGAGAUGUUCGGUUAAGUCCGCUAACGAGCGCAACCCUCGCUGUGUGUUACAAGUGUCACACGGUACUGCA